RNAcentral lists this ribosomal RNA (253 nucleotides) under uncultured bacterium. RNAcentral describes it as "partial 16S ribosomal RNA". It matches the Rfam family "Bacterial small subunit ribosomal RNA", at positions 524 to 776 of the family's 1533-position model. The record is from RNAcentral.
UACAGAGGUCUCAAGCGUUGUUCGGAUUCAUUGGGCGUAAAGGGUGCGUAGGCGGCGCGGUAAGUCGGGUGUGAAAUCUCGGAGCUUAACUCCGAAACUGCAUUCGAUACUGCCGUGCUUGAGGACUGGAGAGGAGACUGGAAUUUACGGUGUAGCGGUGAAAUGCGUAGAUAUCGUAAGGAAGACCAGUGGCGAAGGCGGGUCUCUGGACAGUUCCUGACGCUGAGGCACAAAGGCCAGGGGAGCAAACGGG